This 584-nucleotide long non-coding RNA is filed under the name Phoenix dactylifera (date palm). Its description in RNAcentral is "long non-coding RNA (PDAC_LNC009440)". Lineage: Eukaryota; Viridiplantae; Streptophyta; Magnoliopsida; Arecales; Arecaceae. The record is from RNAcentral.
GUUUGACGAGCAUGUGAACUUGGGCCCUAGCCAUUCGGAUCCUUGUAGUGCGGAUUGGCUAUAGUAGGUUCAUUUUGAAAUAGGGUUGCAUCUAGAUGGGAUCUAUUGAUCUUGAUAGAUUAGGAGUGAUCCUAUGUGAUUUAUGAGACUGAGUUCGAUAAAUUUCUGGCCAGCUAUUUUGGAAAAAGAGUUUUCUAUAUCUCGAUCUGGAAGUCGAAUAAAUUUAACAUAUGACGGACGAUGGAGUUUGACGAGAUAUCCAUAACCUCCGUCACGUCGGGAUCUAUGAUAGAGGGAUUGUAUUAUAUGCUAACUACACCUAGAGGUUUAGACAUUCUAUUUUGCUGGGUUGCCACCACAUACUGCUAGGUGUCGCUAGUGGAUUGUGAGACUCGAAGGCAUUCACUUGGUGAUCAGUGAACCCUAAGAGUAGAACUGAAAUUGUUUCAGUCCACUGAAGGAGUUUCAGUGAUAUUGAGAUGGAGAUCUCAAUAUGUCUCACUACCAGUCAGAAUAGAACCUACGGGAUCACACACAUAGAGGAUUUAAUUAGUCAGACUAUCAUAAUUUUGUUUUGGAAUCAC